CCCUUAGAUGUUCUGGGCCGCACGCGUGCUUCACUGAGUGGAUCAGCGGGUCAGGUUGCGCGAAAGCGUUUCCUAAUCUUUAAAUCCGCUCGUGAUGGGGAUUGACGGUUGCAAUUUUCUGUCAUGAACGAGGAAUACCUUGUAAGCGCGGGUCAUCAUCCCGCGCUGAAUACGUCCCUGCCCUUUGUACACACCGCCCGUCGCUCCUACCGAUUGAGUGGUCCGGUGAGGCUUUGGGAUCUGAGCGGAAAGAGCGUUUCGCUGUUUCUGCUCGGAAAACUCAGUCGAACCUUAUCAUUUAGAGGAAGGAGAAGUCGUAACA
This 322-nucleotide ribosomal RNA is filed under the name uncultured eukaryote. Its description in RNAcentral is "partial 18S ribosomal RNA". It matches the Rfam family "Eukaryotic small subunit ribosomal RNA", at positions 1470 to 1796 of the family's 1831-position model. The record is from RNAcentral.